RNAcentral lists this transfer RNA (127 nucleotides) under Ascocoryne sarcoides NRRL 50072. RNAcentral's name for it is "tRNA-iMet (CAT) (tRNA-iMet-CAT-3-1)". The stretch from base 58 to 127 matches the Rfam family "tRNA". Rfam says of the family: Transfer RNA (tRNA) molecules are approximately 80 nucleotides in length. Their secondary structure includes four short double-helical elements and three loops (D, anti-codon, and T loops). Further hydrogen bonds mediate the characteristic L-shaped molecular structure. tRNAs have two regions of fundamental functional importance: the anti-codon, which is responsible for specific mRNA codon recognition, and the 3' end, to which the tRNAs corresponding amino acid is attached (by aminoacyl-tRNA synthetases). tRNAs cope with the degeneracy of the genetic code in two manners: having more than one tRNA (with a specific anti-codon) for a particular amino acid; and 'wobble' base-pairing, i.e. permitting non-standard base-pairing at the 3rd anti-codon position. Lineage: Eukaryota; Fungi; Ascomycota; Leotiomycetes; Helotiales; Gelatinodiscaceae. The record is from RNAcentral.
AGCAACUUGGCGCAGCGGAAGCGGUAAGAUCCUCCCAUCCCCCAAUCACCAAUCAUCAGCAUCUAAUAAAUUCUUCAGCGCCGGGCUCAUAACCCGGAGGUCCCUGGAUCGAAACCAGGAGUUGCUA